Molecule: transfer RNA, 72 nt
Filed under: Pangasius djambal
Lineage: Eukaryota; Metazoa; Chordata; Actinopteri; Siluriformes; Pangasiidae
Description: tRNA-Glu
Rfam family: tRNA
About the family: Transfer RNA (tRNA) molecules are approximately 80 nucleotides in length. Their secondary structure includes four short double-helical elements and three loops (D, anti-codon, and T loops).
Source: RNAcentral
UUCCUGGAGGACUAGUGGUUAGGCCUCGGCGCUCUCGCCACUGUGGCCCGGGUUCGAUUCCCGGCCGUGGAA